RNAcentral lists this ribosomal RNA (420 nucleotides) under Fusobacteriota bacterium. RNAcentral describes it as "Fusobacteria bacterium partial 16S ribosomal RNA". It matches the Rfam family "Bacterial small subunit ribosomal RNA", at positions 355 to 776 of the family's 1533-position model. Lineage: Bacteria; Fusobacteriati; Fusobacteriota. The record is from RNAcentral.
UGGGGGAUAUUGCACAAUGGGCGAAAGCCUGAUGCAGCGACGCCGCGUGGGGGAUGAAGGCCUUCGGGUUGUAAACUUCUUUUGCUCUGAACAAGGCAUGCCUUUGGGGUGUGUCGAGUGUAGGGGUUGAUUAGCGCCGGCUAACUACGUGCCAGCAGCCGCGGUAAUACGUAGGGCGCGAGCGUUGUCCGGAAUUAUUGGGCGUAAAGGGCUUGUAGGUGGCUGGUUGCGUCUGUCGUGAAAGCUCAUGGCUUAACUGUGGGUUUGCGGUGGGUACGGGCUGGCUUGAGUGCAGUAGGGGAGGCUGGAAUUCCUGGUGUAGCGGUGGAAUGCGCAGAUAUCAGGAGGAAUACCGGUGGCGAAGGCGGGUCUCUGGGCUGUUACUGACGCUGAGGAGCGAAAGCGUGGGGAGCGAACAGG